This 1356-nucleotide ribosomal RNA is filed under the name metagenome. RNAcentral's name for it is "bacterial LSU rRNA". It matches the Rfam family "Bacterial large subunit ribosomal RNA", at positions 1552 to 2925 of the family's 2925-position model. The record is from RNAcentral.
CUUGGGAAGCCGUGAUUCGGAGCGAAAUAAAGUAGCGAAGUCCGUGAGCCAUGCGUCAAGAAAAGCCGCUAUCGUUUAUACCGUACCCGUACCGUAAACCGACACAGGUGGAUGAGGAGAGAAUCCUAAGGCCGGCGGAAGAAGCAUUGUCAAGGAACUCGGCAAAAUGGCCCCGUAACUUAGGGAUAAGGGGUGCCUGGGAAACCAGGCCGCAGAGAAUAGGCUCAAGCAACUGUUUAGCAAAAACACAGGUCUAUGCGAAACCGAAAGGUGAGGUAUAUGGGCUGACGCCUGCCCGGUGCUGGAAGGUUAAGAGGAGAGGUUAGCGGUAACGCGAAGCUUUGAAUUUAAGCCCCAGUAAACGGCGGCCGUAACGAUAACGGUCCUAAGGUAGCGAAAUUCCUUGUCGGGUAAGUUCCGACCCGCACGAAAGGCGUAAUGAUUUGAGCGCUGUCUCGACAAUGCAUCCGGUGAAAUUGAAGUACCAGUGAAGAUGCUGGUUACCUGCGCCAGGACGGAAAGACCCCAUGGAGCUUUACUCCAGUCUGGUACUGGGACUCGGUAUUGCAUGUACAGGAUAGGUGGGAGGCUGAGAAAUGGUAACGCCAGUUGCCAUGGAGCCGCUGUUGGGAUACCACCCUUGCAGUAUUGGGUUUCUAACCAGCCGCCGUGACCCGGCGGUGGGACAAUGCCAGACGGGGAGUUUGACUGGGGCGGUCGCCUCCGAAAGGGUAUCGGAGGCGCCCAAAGGUUCCCUCAGAAUGGACGGAAACCAUUCGAAGAGUGCAAAGGCAGAAGGGAGCUUGACUGCGACACCGACGGGUGGAGCAGGUACGAAAGUAGGGCUUAGUGAUCCGGUGGUAUUAAGUGGGAAUGCCAUCGCUCAACGGAUAAAAGCUACCCUGGGAUAACAGGCUUAUCACUCCCAAGAGUUCACAUCGACGGAGUGGUUUGGCACCUCGAUGUCGGCUCAUCGCAUCCUGGGGCUGUAGUAGGUCCCGAGGGUUGGGCUGUUCGCCCAUUAAAGCGGUACGCGAGCUGGGUUCAGAACGUCGUGAGACAGUUCGGUCCCUAUCCGGCGCGGGCGUAGGAUAUCUGAGAGGAGCUGUCCUUAGUACGAGAGGACCGGGAUGGACGGGCCGCUGGUGCAUCGGUUAGACUGCCAAGUCUACGGCCGAGUAGCCAAGCCCGGAAGGGAUAAACGCUGAAGGCAUCUAAGCGUGAAGCCCCCCUUAAGAUGAGAUAUCCCAUUCGAAAGAAGUAAACCCCCUUGAAGACGACGAGGUAGAUAGGGCAGAGGUGGAAGUGCAGCAAUGCAUGGAGCUGACUGUUACUAAUCGGGUGAGGGCUUGACCG